Long non-coding RNA from Trachemys scripta elegans, 1940 nucleotides. RefSeq lists it as uncharacterized. The transcript is spliced from 3 exons. NCBI's taxonomy places the organism in Eukaryota, Metazoa, Chordata, Testudines, Emydidae. The record is from RefSeq and is a predicted model, not a curated record.
CAGGCUAGAGCGGCCCCAUCACCGGUUCUGGACUCCCCUUGAGAACAUAGAGAGCUGGCGGACGAGGAGCUGAGAGACUCCAUAAGCCCUUCUGGGUUCUGUGCUAUAGAGCAGAACCAUAGAGAGCUGGUGGAAGAGGAGCUAGAGCGGCAAAGAGGCUUUUCAGCUGAGCAGAGGCCUUGAGAAGGAAGGGCAGGAGGGCUUCCUCUCAGCUGGCAUGUCUGUGCCAUGGAGGGGGAGGAAUAGGGUGACCAGACAUUGCUAAGGCUAUAUCUACCCUACAAUCGGGAUCAAGGCUAUGGGAUCAAUCCACCGGCAGUUGAUUUAGCAGGUCUAGUGAAGACCUGCCACAUCAACAGCAGAUCGCUCUGCAGUUGACCCCUGUACUCUACUCCCAACAACCCCGUGGUAACUCAACCUAAGAAUGAAGAAAAGGCCUCUCUGCUCACUGAAGGAAAUGCACAUGUUUCAAGCAUGCAGCACCCUUUAAAAAAGAAAAAAAAUGCAGUCUCUCACUACUUCAUGUUCCAUGGCCAGAGAACAGGAGGUUCUCGAUCCACACUCACAGAGGAGUCUGCAUUUAUGUAUGGAUUUUACUCAUGCUUUUUGUUGUUGGUCUUUCUUAAAACCAAGUUUUUCUUUCUUAAGGUUUGGAUAUAAAGAAGGGAGGGAAUGCAUAGUUAUUACACCAAAUGCAAGUUUAGCCCACUGUCUUGCUACAAAGUGAUAUGCAACCUGGUUGCCUUUUGAUACCCUCUCCCCACCAGAACACCAGGAUCCUAGCUGUCUGCCAGAUAUCACCAUCCCUUGUCACAGUCACCCCCUCCCGUCCUCAAUGCUCAGUUCUAAUUCUCGGUGGCUGGGACUCCCAUCCAAACCAGUAUUGUAAUCCUGAUGUGCCUCCAACAAAAACACGAUCUAUGUUUUAAAAAUAUAAAUCUUUAACUACUUUUGCCCUUCUUCAGAAGGAACUCAAUUAUUAACUGAAUUUACAACCCUUAAGUGCAGUCUCUGGAUUGUUUCCCUGAGAUAGGUGUAUGAUUAGAAGCCACUUAAAGAGAAGCACUGAAGGGUUAUACCAACUGCUGAAUUAAAGUAAACUGAAUAGCAAACAACGGUUUAGGGUCACCACGCACACAAUUUUUGUGUUUUUGGGUGGGGAGGGGAGGGGAAGAGAGGAAUUUUAGGACUCAUUUAGUGCUGGUUCUAUAAUGUAAUCUAUUGCCUGUUGUAGAGCAUCUUCCUUAUACUAAAAAUGCUUACUUAACCCUUCAUUACCUCUCCUAUCUAAAUCCAGCCCAUGGCUUAGUUCCCCAUUAAGCUGAUAUCCCUUUAGAUACAGGGGUGCGUAUACUGUAUUAUGUUUGCAUUAGGUAUGUGAGUUCACAUAACUCUAUUGGAUGGGAUUUUCAAAUCACUCGGGGACUUUUAGGACCGCCAGUCCCACUGAAAGUCAACAGGACUGGUGCUCCUAAGUCACUUAAGUGAUCCUCCUGUCAUGACUUACACUCAGGAGACGUGUCAAACAAUUACAAGUCAUAUUAGUCCUCUCAAAUUACAUUUUUGAAACACAGUGUUUAAGGACUUUAAUAUCUUUGCCUGUUGUCUUAACCUAUUUGUCCUGUUUUUAAAAUUCUAUAGGCUCACACAAAAAGGGACAGAAGUAGCCUAUCGUAAUGGCCAAGGUAGCCAAGAGCCUUUUCCAGCUGAUUACUAACAGACUGAACAAACUCAUGGUCCAUAACCACGCUUUAAUUGCUUGCUUACAUCAAUCCAAAAAUUUUUGAAUUUGGUGUUAGUUUUUUAAGGUGCGUUGGUAUGCAAGCAAGGAUCUGGGGAAAGAACUAGGCUGGACAGAUUGCAGAGGAGUUACUAAAAAUCUAACAUAUGUGAAGGUGCUACAAGUAACAAACCCAUAAAGUCAUAUGUUCUUAUAUCAA